GAUUGAACGCUGGCGGCAGGCCUAACACAUGCAAGUCGAGCGGCAGCGGGAAAGUAGCUUGCUACUUUUGCCGGCGAGCGGCGGACGGGUGAGUAAUGCCUGGGGAUCUGCCCAGUCGAGGGGGAUAACAGUUGGAAACGACUGCUAAUACCGCAUACGCCCUACGGGGGAAAGGAGGGGACCUUCGGGCCUUUCGCGAUUGGAUGAACCCAGGUGGGAUUAGCUAGUUGGUGGGGUAAUGGCUCACCAAGGCGACGAUCCCUAGCUGGUCUGAGAGGAUGAUCAGCCACACUGGAACUGAGACACGGUCCAGACUCCUACGGGAGGCAGCAGUGGGGAAUAUUGCACAAUGGGGGAAACCCUGAUGCAGCCAUGCCGCGUGUGUGAAGAAGGCCUUCGGGUUGUAAAGCACUUUCAGCGAGGAGGAAAGGUUGGCGCCUAAUACGUGUCAACUGUGACGUUACUCGCAGAAGAAGCACCGGCUAACUCC
Molecule: ribosomal RNA, 490 nt
Filed under: Aeromonas sp. SC11
Lineage: Bacteria; Pseudomonadati; Pseudomonadota; Gammaproteobacteria; Aeromonadales; Aeromonadaceae
Description: bacterial SSU rRNA
Rfam family: Bacterial small subunit ribosomal RNA
Source: RNAcentral